GUGGGGAAUCUUGCGCAAUGGGCGAAAGCCUGACGCAGCCAUGCCGCGUGAAUGAUGAAGGUCUUAGGAUUGUAAAAUUCUUUCACCGGGGACGAUAAUGACGGUACCCGGAGAAGAAGCUCCGGCUAACUUCGUGCCAGCAGCCGCGGUAAUACGAAGGGGGCUAGCGUUGCUCGGAAUUACUGGGCGUAAAGGGCGCGUAGGCGGACAGCUUAGUCAGAGGUGAAAGCCCAGGGCUCAACCUUGGAAUUGCCUUUGAUACUGGCUGUCUUGAGUUUGGGAGAGGUGAGUGGAACUCCGAGUGUAGAGGUGAAAUUCGUAGAUAUUCGGAAGAACACCAGUGGCGAAGGCGACUCACUGGCCCGUUACUGACGCUGAGGCGCGAAAGCGUGGGGAGCAAACAGGAUUAGAUACCCGUGUAGUCC
RNAcentral lists this ribosomal RNA (425 nucleotides) under uncultured bacterium. RNAcentral describes it as "bacterial SSU rRNA". It matches the Rfam family "Bacterial small subunit ribosomal RNA", at positions 354 to 796 of the family's 1533-position model. The record is from RNAcentral.